Molecule: long non-coding RNA, 435 nt
Organism: Brienomyrus brachyistius
Lineage: Eukaryota; Metazoa; Chordata; Actinopteri; Osteoglossiformes; Mormyridae
Exons: 3
Source: RefSeq, a predicted model, not a curated record
AGCAUUGUUUGUGCUCGCUGGUCGGGCGAGAAGCUGUGUCACACGCACAUGUGGGGCUAAUGUAUGCGUGCCAUGGUGUCAAAUGUGGAAAGCGCAGUAUUCAUUGUGUGUGUUCACAUGGUGUGCAUAAGGUGUUGCUAACUGUGUGUGUUUGCAUGGUGUGCAUUAGGUGUUGCUAACUGUGUGUGUUUGCAUGGUGUGCAUAAGGUGUUGCUAACUGUGUGUGUUUGCACAGUGUGCAUAAGGUGUUGCUAACUGUGUGUGUUUGCACGGUGUGCAUAAGGUGUUGCUAACUGUGUGUGUUUGCACAGUGUGCAUAAGGUGUUGCUAACUGUGUGUGUUUGCACAGUGUGCAUAAGGUGUUGCUAACUGUGUGUGUUUGCACAGUGUGCAUUAGGUGUUACUAACUGUGUGUGUUUGCAUGGUGUACAUAAG